Trichobilharzia regenti is the source of this 45-nucleotide non-coding RNA. The record is from Rfam. NCBI's taxonomy places the organism in Eukaryota, Metazoa, Platyhelminthes, Trematoda, Strigeidida, Schistosomatidae.
AUCCAGAUGACGAGUCCAAAAUAGGACGAAAUGCGCAUCCUGGAU